GUGCUCGCUUCAGCAGCACAUAUACUAAAAUUGGGAUGAUACAGAGAAGAUUAGCAUGGCCCCUGCGCAAGAAUGGCAUGCAAAUUCAUGAAGCUUUUCAUAUUUUU
Molecule: small nuclear RNA, 107 nt
Filed under: Saimiri boliviensis boliviensis (Bolivian squirrel monkey)
Lineage: Eukaryota; Metazoa; Chordata; Mammalia; Primates; Cebidae
Source: RNAcentral